CAGGCUUAACACAUGCAAGUCGAGGGGCAGCAUGGUCUUAGCUUGCUAAGGCCGAUGGCGACCGGCGCACGGGUGAGUAACACGUAUCCAACCUGCCGUCUACUCUUGGACAGCCUUCUGAAAGGAAGAUUAAUACAAGAUGGCAUCAUGAGUCCGCAUGUUCACAUGAUUAAAGGUAUUCCGGUAGACGAUGGGGAUGCGUUCCAUUAGAUAGUAGGCGGGGUAACGGCCCACCUAGUCUUCGAUGGAUAGGGGUUCUGAGAGGAAGGUCCCCCGCAUUGGAACUGAGACACGGUCCAAACUCCUACGGGAGGCAGCAGUGAGGAAUAUUGGUCAAUGGGCGAGAGCCUGAACCAGCCAAGUAGCGUGAAGGAUGACUGCCCUAUGGGUUGUAAACUUCUUUUAUAAAGGAAUAAAGUCGGGUAUGCAUACCCGUUUGCAUGUACUUUAUGAAUAAGGAUCGGCUAACUCCGUGCCAGCAGCCGCGGUAAUACGGAGGAUCCGAGCGUUAUCCGGAUUUAUUGGGUUUAAAGGGAGCGUAGAUGGAUGUUUAAGUCAGUUGUGAAAGUUUGCGGCUCAACCGUAAAAUUGCAGUUGAUGCUGGAUAUCUUGAGUGCAGUUGAGGGCAGGCGGAAUUCGUGGUGUAGCGGUGAAAUGCUUAGAUAUCACGAAGAACUCCGAUUGCGAAGGCAGCCUGCUAAGCUGCAACUGACAUUGAGGCUCGAAAGUGUGGGUAUCAAACAGGAUUAGAUACCCUGGUAGUCCACACGGUAAACGAUGAAUACUCGCUGUUUGCGAUAUACAGCAAGCGGCCAAGCGAAAGCGUUAAGUAUUCCACCUGGGGAGUACGCCGGCAACGGUGAAACUCAAAGGAAUUGACGGGGGCCCGCACAAGCGGAGGAACAUGUGGUUUAAUUCGAUGAUACGCGAGGAACCUUACCCGGGCUUAAAUUGCAGAUGAAUUACGGUGAAAGCCGUAAGCCGCAAGGCAUCUGUGAAGGUGCUGCAUGGUUGUCGUCAGCUCGUGCCGUGAGGUGUCGGCUUAAGUGCCAUAACGAGCGCAACCCUUGUUGUCAGUUACUAACAGGUUCCGCUGAGGACUCUGACAAGACUGCCAUCGUAAGAUGUGAGGAAGGUGGGGAUGACGUCAAAUCAGCACGGCCCUUACGUCCGGGGCUACACACGUGUUACAAUGGGGGGUACAGAGGGCCGCUACCACGCGAGUGGAUGCCAAUCCCAAAAACCUCUCUCAGUUCGGACUGGAGUCUGCAACCCGACUCCACGAAGCUGGAUUCGCUAGUAAUCGCGCAUCAGCCACGGCGCGGUGAAUACGUUCCCGGGCCUUGUACACACCGCCCGUCAAGCCAUGGGAGCCGGGGGUACCUGAAGUGCGUAACCGCGAGGAGCGCCCUAGGGUAAAACUGGUGACUGGGGCUAAGUCAUAACA
RNAcentral lists this ribosomal RNA (1447 nucleotides) under uncultured organism. Its description in RNAcentral is "16S ribosomal RNA". It matches the Rfam family "Bacterial small subunit ribosomal RNA". The record is from RNAcentral.